AGCAGCCGCGGUAAUUCCAGCUCCAAUAGCGUAUAUUAAAGUUGUUGCAGUUAAAAAGCUCGUAGUUGAAUUUCGGGGUUAGCAGGUCGGUCGUGCCAAUGGUAUGCACUGGCCUUGCUGAUUCCUCCCUCUUGAUGAACCGUAAUGCCAUUAAUUUGGUGUUGCGGGGAAUCAGGACUGUUACUUUGAAAAAAUUAGAGUGUUUAAAGCAGGCAAGCGCUUGAAUACAUUAGCAUGGAAUAAUGAAAUAGGACGUUUGAUCCUAUUUUGUUGGUUUCUAGGAUUGACGUAAUGAUUAAUAGGGAUAGUUGGGGGCAUUAGUAUUCAAUUGUCAGAGGUGAAAUUCUUGGAUUUAUUGAAGACUAACUACUGCGAAAGCAUUUGCCAAGGAUGUUUUCAUUAAUCAAGAACGAAAGUUAGGGGAUCGAAGACGAUCAGAUACCGUCGUAG
RNAcentral lists this ribosomal RNA (450 nucleotides) under uncultured Glomeromycotina. RNAcentral describes it as "SSU rRNA". It matches the Rfam family "Eukaryotic small subunit ribosomal RNA", at positions 569 to 1023 of the family's 1831-position model. The record is from RNAcentral. Lineage: Eukaryota; Fungi; Glomeromycota.